This 484-nucleotide ribosomal RNA is filed under the name uncultured bacterium. RNAcentral's name for it is "partial 16S ribosomal RNA". It matches the Rfam family "Bacterial small subunit ribosomal RNA", at positions 30 to 507 of the family's 1533-position model. The record is from RNAcentral.
AUUGAACGCUGGCGGCAGGCCUAACACAUGCAAGUCGAGCGGAUGAAGGGAGCUUGCUCCUGGAUUCAGCGGCGGACGGGUGAGUAAUGCCUAGGAAUCUGCCUGGUAGUAGGGGAUAACGUCCUGAAACGGGCGCUAAUACCGCAUACGUCCUGAGGGAGAAAGUGGGGGAUCUUCGGACCUCACGCUAUCAGAUGAGCCUAGGUCGGAUUAGCUAGUUGGUGGGGUAAAGGCCUACAAAGGCGACGAUCCGUAACUGGUCUGAGAGGAUGAUCAGUCACACUGGAACUGAGACACGGUCCAGACUCCUACGGGAGGCAGCAGUGGGGAAUAUUGGACGAUGGGCGAGAGCCUGAUCCAGCCAUGCCGCGUGUGUGAAGAAGGUCUUCGGAUUGUAAAGCACUUUAGGUUGGGAGGAAGGGCAGUAAGUUAAUACCUUGCUGUUUUGACGUUACCAACAGAAUAAGCACCGGCUAACUUCGUG